RNAcentral lists this ribosomal RNA (252 nucleotides) under uncultured bacterium. RNAcentral describes it as "partial 16S ribosomal RNA". It matches the Rfam family "Bacterial small subunit ribosomal RNA", at positions 524 to 776 of the family's 1533-position model. The record is from RNAcentral.
UACAGAGGGGGCAAGCGUUGUUCGGAAUUACUGGGCGUAAGGGCGCGUAGGUGGCCUUCUAAGUUGAACGUGAAAUCCCUGGGCUCAACCCAGGAACUGCGUCCAAGACUGGGAGGCUUGAAUCCGGGAGAGGGAUGCGGAAUUCCAGGUGUAGCGGUGAAAUGCGUAGAUAUCUGGAGGAACACCGGUGGCGAAGGCGGCACCCUGGACCGGUAUUGACACUGAGGCGCGAAAGCCAGGGGAGCAAACGGG